Molecule: long non-coding RNA, 1035 nt
Filed under: Parus major (Great Tit)
Lineage: Eukaryota; Metazoa; Chordata; Aves; Passeriformes; Paridae
Description: lncRNA (ENSPMJG00000009576.1)
Source: RNAcentral
AUGAACUGUGCUCUUGAAGCAUCCUUUUCGGAGACGGCUGCAGGAGCUGGCACAUGGUCCAAUGCUCUGGGAGCAGGAUUUUGGGAUCUUGCUGUGCUGAAGGUGACUGCAGGACGGGACUGCCAAGCAUCCUCUGAUGCCGAUUCUUGCUCCAGUUACUGGUGCAAGCUGCUCACACAGGUCCACUGCCUGUGCUGCUGGAUGGACACCUUGGGACUCCAGACAAAGACUCUUCCUCAUUUAUUUCCAAAACUACAGCGUUGGUGCUCAGGAGCUGAAAGGCAUCCCAGAACUGAACAUUUCACAGAUGAAGAGAGAACUGUGCUUUAUAGCAGACUUGAGGAGUUCAUAGGAACAGGCUGUGUUUUUGCUCUAAUUGAAGAGAGCAAAGCAACCACAGUUCAAGAGAUCCACCACUCAUCUGCCCACUGCUUCCUGAGCACGUGAGACUCUUCAACACAAGCACCACAAACAGCAACAACAAAAAGAAUCCUACAGGAGCCUUUUAAAGUUGGUACCAUCAGCAAGGUGUGCCUGUUGUGAUGCAAACUGACCUGGCCUAACUUCCCAGCUCCACAUACUGCUUUAAAAAAUUCUAUAUAAAAUAUAGAUAUAUAUAAAAUAGGGCCUCAAUAUAAAAAAAAAUACUCAAGACAUCAGAUAAGCCAUGGUAUAAACCAGCCACAAUUCCAUUAGAAGCCUGUUCUUUUGUCCCUUUCAGAGUAUUUUUCCUUUAACUAUGUGAUUAAUAAUAUUAUGUGUUGAUAAAAGGUCAGGAAAGUGGCAGCUUCCAAUCCACCCAAAGGUAUUGAUGCUGCUGCUCCUGGAAUUCAUCUUGUGUGUGUCUCUCAUGUGUGUUCCAUGCUGCAGUGCUGGAGAUAUUUGAGGUUAAGAACUCAGAUAACCUACAAGAACAUGGGAAAAAAGAAUCCUGUCCCUGUGCAAUGCAGGAGAACAGGCCAGGAUUCGCUUCAGGCAAAGUCCAAAUGAGAGGCUCCCAAGGGACAGAAAAUAAAGUGAAGGCUGCAUGGUUCA